GUCAAUAAAAAAAAAAAAUCAUGGCUAGACAUCUCGCUACUUUUCUUACCAAGCAAAUGAUGCGCCGAUCUGCAUUAGCGGCAAACAAAGCUACUUCAAGAUCUUCAAGUGUACCCAAAGGUUUCUUAGCCAUUUAUGUUGGUGAGACAGAAAAGAAGAGAUUUGUAGUUCCAAUAUCUUAUCUGAACGAGCCUUCAUUUAUAAACUUGCUUAGUAAAGCAGAAGAGGAGUGCGGUUUUAAUCAUCCAAUGGGCGCUUUGACAAGCAGAGAAGAAAUUUUUAUUGGUGUCACUUCCAGCUUGAGUAGAUCAUCAGAGAAGGCGUAUUAAUCUAAUCAUGGGAAACAAUUUUGUGUGGCAGUAAAUACUUUUUUUGUUGUAUAAUGAGAAA
This 390-nucleotide unclassified non-coding RNA is filed under the name Hevea brasiliensis (rubber tree). Lineage: Eukaryota; Viridiplantae; Streptophyta; Magnoliopsida; Malpighiales; Euphorbiaceae. The record is from RNAcentral.